This is a non-coding RNA of Trichonephila clavipes, 74 nucleotides long. The record is from the annotation of a GenBank genome assembly. Lineage: Eukaryota; Metazoa; Arthropoda; Arachnida; Araneae; Nephilidae.
CUGUAGCACAAUGGGUGUAGCACUUUGGACUUCUAAUUCAAAGGUCAUGGGUUUAUAUCCCAACUGAACUUCCA